CUGCCACAAAGGGAGCCGUUGGGAACCUCAUAGGGACCCAGAGAGAUUCAGGUACUGCCACAAAGGGAGCCAUAGGUAGCCCCAUAGGGAGCCAGAGAGAAUCAGGUACUGCCACAAAGGGAGCCAUGGGGAGCCCCAUAGGGAGGCAGGCAGACCCCAGGUACUGCCACAAAGGGAGCCAUGGGGAGCCCCAUAGGGAGGCAGGCAGACCCCAGGUACUGCCACAAAGGGAGCCGUGGGGAGCCCCAUAGGGAGCCAGACAGAGCCCAGGUACUGUCACAAAGGGAGCCAUUGGGGGUCCCAUAGGGAGUCAUAUAGACCCCAGGUACUGCCACAAAGGGAGCUGUGGGGAGCCCCAUUGGGAGCCAGACAGAGCCCAGGUACUGCCACAAAGGGAGCCGUUGGGAACCUCAUAGGGACCCAGAGAGAUUCAGGUACUGCCACAAAGGGAGCCGUGGG
Molecule: long non-coding RNA, 459 nt
Filed under: Gallus gallus (chicken)
Lineage: Eukaryota; Metazoa; Chordata; Aves; Galliformes; Phasianidae
Description: lncRNA (ENSGALG00010010151.1)
Source: RNAcentral